AUCACAUUACCUGAUUCCGUUGUCCUAACAUUGACCUUUGCAGCUCUCAAACACCAGAACAUAGGGACACCCCAAUGGUAACUUCGUGGUGGCGCAGUUUCAGCACACACUUCUAGGUCAAGGGAAAUCAUGUAGUACAAGAGCUACGGGUUAUUGGGGAUGGUUGUAGCUAACAGCACAGACGUGUGAUAUGAGCUUGUCUACACACGACCACCUUUGUGAUGCCAGGAAGUGACCAGAACUAGGCAAGUGCUGGGCCGCUGGAGAUUUCCUCUCUACAGGAAUGAAGUCUCAGGAAACUGUAGAGAGUUUUGGCAAGAAUGUCAGGGAGACAAACAAAGGCAAGAUUAAUAGAGGGGGCACCUGUCAUCCAUUUGUCACUCACAGAGAACUGGAACUACACCAGGCUUUGGAGAGAGGAGAGACAGCCUUACCUACACCAGGCUGGGCCAUGGGACUGGCUCACCCAGGAAGCACUGAUAUUAUAAGACGAUGCAUGGACAGCCCAGGACCAGAGGUGAGCACUAAUCAAAUAAGAGGACAAACUCAAGGUAGCGGCUAGCAAAUCAAGUUAUGAAGAUGAGGCGGUUGACGGCAGGUGUGCUGGAAGUGAACGUGGUAUUGUACUUGUAAUUAUCACAAAUUUCCAUUUGUCCUGGAUCUCAAUUUCCUCGGUGUUGCUUACUUUGGCCUCCUCUAGCAGGCUGUCCACAGUUCCCUCAGUUAAUGGUUGUCCAGAAUGAACAAACAGAAACUGUAGUAAAGGUGCUCCAGCAGCAGUAGAGAUGCUUCUGUCAACCAGCCACACCAGCAAACAAAAAUGUCUCAUCUUAAUUGUAAUUAUCAACUAAAUGAAGUUUCUAUGUAGUUCCUCUCAGGUGAAAACAUUUUAACUGGACUGCGCUCACAUACAAUUAUUUGUACAUACAUGGUACUAAAGAGUCCUGGCAUCAGAGUUUUGAUCUGGGUUUGUUCAAUUUUGAAACAAAAUAUCUAUAACUGGUUUUACCCAAUAUUGCUUUUACCCGUUUCAACCCAACAUCACAAUAUAUAUACAAACCAAACAUGGUCACAUACAUAAAUCAUAACAAUGGCAACAAAACCUUAGAGGACAUGAUGAAAGGGAUGAUCAGGUAACCAAUGAAUUUUUAACUUUGAAAUAAAUGUACAUUUCAUACGUUCAUAUUUCAUAGCAGAAUG
Liolophura sinensis is the source of this 1200-nucleotide long non-coding RNA. RefSeq lists it as uncharacterized. Lineage: Eukaryota; Metazoa; Mollusca; Polyplacophora; Chitonida; Chitonidae. The transcript is spliced from 4 exons. The record is from RefSeq and is a predicted model, not a curated record.